GCUUGCUGGGUGGAUCAGUGGCGAACGGGUGAGUAACACGUGAGCAACCUGCCCCUGACUCUGGGAUAAGCGCUGGAAACGGCGUCUAAUACUGGAUAUGUGACGUGACCGCAUGGUCUGCGUCUGGAAAGAAUUUCGGUUGGGGAUGGGCUCGCGGCCUAUCAGCUUGUUGGUGAGGUAAUGGCUCACCAAGGCGUCGACGGGUAGCCGGCCUGAGAGGGUGACCGGCCACACUGGGACUGAGACACGGCCCAGACUCCUACGGGAGGCAGCAGUGGGGAAUAUUGCACAAUGGGCGCAAGCCUGAUGCAGCAACGCCGCGUGAGGGACGACGGCCUUCGGGUUGUAAACCUCUUUUAGCAGGGAAGAAGCGAAAGUGACGGUACCUGCAGAAAAAGCGCCGGCUAACUACGUGCCAGCAGCCGCGGUAAUACGUAGGGCGCAAGCGUUAUCCGGAAUUAUUGGGCGUAAAGAGCUCGUAGGCGGUUUGUCGCGUCUGCUGUGAAAUCCGGAGGCUCAACCUCCGGCCUGCAGUGGGUACGGGCAGACUAGAGUGCGGUAGGGGAGAUUGGAAUUCCUGGUGUAGCGGUGGAAUGCGCAGAUAUCAGGAGGAACACCGAUGGCGAAGGCAGAUCUCUGGGCCGUAACUGACGCUGAGGAGCGAAAGGUGGGGAGCAACAGGCU
RNAcentral lists this ribosomal RNA (684 nucleotides) under Microbacterium sp. MYb32. RNAcentral describes it as "bacterial SSU rRNA". It matches the Rfam family "Bacterial small subunit ribosomal RNA", at positions 78 to 778 of the family's 1533-position model. The record is from RNAcentral. Lineage: Bacteria; Bacillati; Actinomycetota; Actinomycetes; Micrococcales; Microbacteriaceae.